GCCGCCGCGGUAAUACGGAGGGUGCAAGCGUUAAUCGGAAUUACUGGGCGUAAAGCGCACGCAGGCGGUUUGUUAAGUCAGAUGUGAAAUCCCCGGGCUCAACCUGGGAACUGCAUUUGAAACUGGCAAGCUAGAGUCUCGUAGAGGGGGGUAGAAUUCCAGGUGUUGCGGUGAAAUGCGUAGAGAUCUGGAGGAAUACCGGUGGCGAAGGCGGCCCCCUGGACGAAGACUGACGCUCAGGUGCGAAAGCGUGGGGAGCAAACAGGAUUAGAUCCCUGGUAGUCCACGCUGUAAACGAUGUCGAUUUGGAGGUUGUGCCCUUGAGGCGUGGCUUCCGGAGCUAACGCGUUAAAUCGACCGCCUGGGGAGUACGGCCGCAAGGUUAAAACUCAAAUGAAUUGACGGGGGCCCGCACAAGCGGUGGAGCAUGUGGUUUAAUUCGAUGCAACGCGAAGAACCUUACCUACUCUUGACAUCCAGAGAACUUAGCAGAGAUGCUUUGGUGUCUUCGGGAACUCUGAGACAGGUGCUGCAUGGCUGUCGUCAGCUCGUGUUGUGAAAUGUUGGGUUAAGCCCCGCAACGAGCGCAACCCUUAUCCUUUGUUGCCAGCGGUUCGGCCGGGAACUCAAAGGAGACUGCCAGUGAUAAACUGGAGGAAGGUGGGGAUGACGUCAAGUCAUCAUGGCCCUUACGAGUAGGGCUACACACGUGCUACAAUGGCAUAUACAAAGAGAAGCGACCUCGCGAGAGCAAGCGGACCUCAUAAAGUAUGUCGUAGUCCGGAUUGGAGUCUGCAACUCGACUCCAUGAAGUCGGAAUCGCUAGUAAUCGUAGAUCAGAAUGCUACGGUGAAUACGUUCCCGGGCCUUGCACACACCGCCCGU
Molecule: ribosomal RNA, 885 nt
Filed under: uncultured bacterium
Lineage: Bacteria
Description: bacterial SSU rRNA
Rfam family: Bacterial small subunit ribosomal RNA
Source: RNAcentral